This 76-nucleotide transfer RNA is filed under the name Candidatus Pantoea edessiphila. RNAcentral's name for it is "Pantoea sp. SoEL tRNA-Val". It matches the Rfam family "tRNA". From Rfam's summary of the family: Transfer RNA (tRNA) molecules are approximately 80 nucleotides in length. Lineage: Bacteria; Pseudomonadati; Pseudomonadota; Gammaproteobacteria; Enterobacterales; Erwiniaceae. The record is from RNAcentral.
GGGUGAUUAGCUCAGUUGGUAGAGCACCUCCCUUACAAGGAGGGGGUCGGCAGUUCGAGUCUGUCAUCACCCACCA